AUGAUUCGCGCCAGAGCCAGUUGGAGUCGAUUUUCAAACCGAUCAUUUUGCUCGAAAUUCCACAUUCCGACCGACAAGAACAGCAACAAUUGUAGGAUUAAUGGCGACAGCACGGUUGAAUCGGAUCUGAGAAGCUACAACGAGGCUUACAAGCAGCUGAAUAACUUGAACUUCAUGAUCUCUUCACUGAACCUCCAAAGGAAAAGAAAUUUGGUUAUUCAAUGGUUUACUUAACCAAAGCCACCAUAUCAGGACGUGGAGCUGAAAAAGAAGGAAUUCAUGAAAAGAUUCUGUAACUUCAGGAGGUUAAAACAAGACUUGAUAAACUCGAGGAGACUAUAAAGGAAAUUGCUAUUGAAUCCAGAAAACAAUCAGGGAGUGAUAGUAUAAAAAAGAACUCUGAAAAGGGUCAAGAAGUGGAUAAAACCAAACAUGGGGAAAAUACUAAUCCAAGCAACAUGGGGAAUGCGCCAGAGUUGAGCAAGUCUAUGAAUAUUCAUCUUAGUGGAGAGAAAAUAGUAGCGGCCCCUGUUUUCCCCAAAGGGCGUGCAAAUGAGUGCACAUAACGAAAAGAUGCUAAGCAUGAAAACCACGGUGGAGGAUCUUCUCUAGAUGCCAAGAGAUGAAGGAAAUGCCUCUAUUGCUGCAAUAUCCUACGCAUAGUACUUUUCCCCUUUGAUGAAGCUAGAGAAAAGCAAGAAUCCAAUGGUUCCAGUUGAGAUGCAAAAUCAAAGGCUAUGAUUCUUCAAUGUUGCAAAGAAUGGACACCCCAACUGAUGAAGUAACAAAGCAACAAAUGGCCAACACCCAAAGCUUGCUCGGUCAUUUUCAGGAAGGUUUGUAUGGUAUGAUAAACAAGUAAGAGAUUUAAUUGUCAUUAAGUGUGUUAAUACCCAGAUUUCUGUUACUUUUACAUCUUGCUUGAUAUUGAUACUAGGAGAGAAAUUAGUUCCUUUAUUAUGACUAAUGAUCAGAGUUUAGAUGAAUGAUUAAGGUGAACAUGAUUUGUUUUGGGAUAUGAACUGAACCCCACCACUGGUUUGGCCUUAUUAGGAGAUCCUGUAGGUCAGAAAUCAAGCCAAUGAAGAUUUACCCACAAUUUAAUAAUGUGUGAAAAAUGAUGAUUGUGAUGGAAUAGGUGAGGAGGGAGGGGGAGGGCCAUUAUGUGGCUUCCAUUGCUUUUUCACAAGGUGUGCUCUAUCUAUACCUACCUCUUUUUGAUGUUCUAAUGUGAUGGUCUAUUACUUUCAACUGCAAUUGGGUCAAGAAUGUUGUCAUCACACCCAUUCUAUCUAAUCUAUCUGCGUAUAUAUUCAUGUCUCAUUAAAUGAAAACUACAAGCAUCCAAAUUUGUGCUCAUUUCAUGGACCACACAGCACACCACUAUUUACUCUUUGAAUUUCAUAUUGAAAUCCUCUCUCUCCCUCACAAACAUGUUUGAUUGACAAGAAGCCUAAAUUAUAAUGUUAUGUUGGAUCUUGAAUUAUGACACCAACUCCUCGUUUGUGUGUGAAUUUUUUUUUAAUCUUAUUUUUAAGGUUGUAUUUGAUAGGUAUUUUGUUGUUUUGUUCUAUUGUACUAUGCAAUUAUUUGAUCUAUACAAUUAUUCUCAAAACUAGAUCGUAACGUGUAGGGAAGCUCAUCAAAUAGAAUAAACCAGUUUAGUUAUUCUUAAAACUAGGUUGUAACGUAAAGUACGUGUAAUUAUAUACCUAAGCCCAUGGCUAGCCGAUAUUGUCUUCUUUGGGCUUUCCCCUCAAGGUUUUAAAAUGCAUCUACUAG
Molecule: non-coding RNA, 1782 nt
Organism: Cucurbita pepo subsp. pepo (vegetable marrow)
Lineage: Eukaryota; Viridiplantae; Streptophyta; Magnoliopsida; Cucurbitales; Cucurbitaceae
Source: RefSeq, a predicted model, not a curated record